This 253-nucleotide ribosomal RNA is filed under the name uncultured bacterium. Its description in RNAcentral is "partial 16S ribosomal RNA". It matches the Rfam family "Bacterial small subunit ribosomal RNA", at positions 524 to 776 of the family's 1533-position model. The record is from RNAcentral.
UACAGAGGUCUCAAGCGUUGUUCGGAUUCAUUGGGCGUAAAGGGUGCGUAGGUGGCGCGCUAAGUCAGGUGUGAAAUUUCGGAGCUUAACUCCGAAACUGCAUUUGAUACUGGUGUGCUUGAGGACUGGAGAGGAGACUGGAAUUUACGGUGUAGCGGUGAAAUGCGUAGAUAUCGUAAGGAAGACCAGUGGCGAAGGCGGGUCUCUGGACAGUUCCUGACGCUGAGGCACGAAGGUCAGGGGAGCAAACGGG